GUGCCCAUUGCCUCUGGUCCUGUCACUGGGCACCACUGAAAAGAGCCUGGCUCUGUCAUCUUUGCACCCUCCCUUCAGGUAUUUACAUGCAUUAAUAAGAUCCCCAUGAGCCUUCUCUUCUCCAGAG
Molecule: long non-coding RNA, 127 nt
Organism: Aquila chrysaetos chrysaetos
Lineage: Eukaryota; Metazoa; Chordata; Aves; Accipitriformes; Accipitridae
Exons: 3
Source: RefSeq, a predicted model, not a curated record